RNAcentral lists this ribosomal RNA (243 nucleotides) under uncultured bacterium. RNAcentral's name for it is "partial 16S ribosomal RNA". It matches the Rfam family "Bacterial small subunit ribosomal RNA", at positions 57 to 305 of the family's 1533-position model. The record is from RNAcentral.
GCAAGUCGAGCGAGAAAGCACUUCGGUGCGAGUACAGCGGCGGACGGGUGAGUAACGUGUAGGAAUCUACCUGGUAGUGGGGGACAACAUGUGGAAACGCAUGCUAAUACCGCAUACGCCCUAUGGGGGAAAGUGGGGGACCUUCGGGCCUCACGCUAUCGGAUGAGCCUGCGUAAGAUUAGCUAGUUGGUGGGGUAAAGGCUCACCAAGGCGACAAUCUUUAGCUGGUCCGAGAGGAUGAUC